AGUCACAGGCCUCAUCCAACCCAGCUCCCAAGCAACCCAAAGGGCCAGUGUCACUCCCACCAUGCCCACCCCCCACAACAGCACCAAGUCUGUUUCCAGGUAGUGGACAAGCAGGAAGUUACCCCAGGCUACCCACCUCCCAGCUGCGAAACCCUUGAACCUGCUUGCCUCAGUAACCGUGGCAAGUCCAGAUGGCUGCCUUAGGAUCAGAUGUAAACCUUGAAGAAACCAGCUGUGGCCAGUAUGUCAAGUUUAAGCAGACAAAUGAAGGUGACCUGUGGUGGGAAUACAUAUUUUGAAACCGAAAAGAGAUGAUAUGUGGGGAUGCAAGGAGAACUUGUUGGAGUCUCUGUUGCAGACAAUGCUUUAUGUGGUCUCAAGCUUGACAUACAAAAAAAAAAGAAGGAAAGUGGAAGCACCCAAAAAAAGAUCAAAACAAGGCAAGGAUCUCUGCUCUCGACCCAUCUAUUCAAUAUUGAACUAGAGGUCCUAGAUGGUGCAAUAAGAUAGGAUCUGACUCUGUCACCCAACCUGGAGUGCAGUGGGGCGAUUAUGGCUCACAGUAGCCUCAAUCUCCCAGGCUCAAGUGACCCUUUCACCUCAGCCUGCCAAGUAGCUGGGACCACAGGCAUGUGUCACCACACCUAGCUAAUUUUUUUUAUUUUUUGUAGAGAUGGAGGGUCCCACCAAGUUGCUGAGGCUGAUCUCAAAACUCCUGGGUUCAAGUAAUCCUCCCACCUCAGCCUCCCAAAGUGCUGAAAUUACAGGCAUGAACCACCAUGCCCAGCCUGAUCAAGUCUUUCUUUGAAUGUGGCAGCAUGCUGAGACUGGGCAACAUGGAGCCUUUGGAAUUUACUCAUAUUACAAGAGAAAUAUAUUUGGACGUUGUCUAGGACAUGGUAAAGAGAAAGGGUGGAGAGGAAAAGUCAAGAGGUAUAGGCCAGGGUUUAACCAUGAGCAGUAGUAGCUCUCAGUCACCAGGUUUCUUUUUCUUACUUUCUCUCUACAAAACCUCGUAUUUUAGUGGAUAUGUUCUGGGGACACUAUCAGGCUAGGAAGAAGCAAAGCCACCUAGAAGGAAGGAUAGUGGCACUGUUAAGUAUAGGAGGGACUAACUAUGCAUAUUUGAUUGUCCUAAUAUAUCUCAACCAAAGCAUGUGUAAGCCUGGCAC
Molecule: long non-coding RNA, 1172 nt
Organism: Pongo pygmaeus (Bornean orangutan)
Lineage: Eukaryota; Metazoa; Chordata; Mammalia; Primates; Hominidae
Exons: 5
Source: RefSeq, a predicted model, not a curated record